Molecule: ribosomal RNA, 265 nt
Filed under: uncultured prokaryote
Description: partial 16S ribosomal RNA
Rfam family: Bacterial small subunit ribosomal RNA
Source: RNAcentral
UGGGGAAUAUUGCGCAAUGGGCGAAAGCCUGACGCAGCAAUGCCGCGUGGGUGAUGAAGGCCUUUGGGUCGUAAAGCCCUGUCGGAGGGAAAGAAAAAGUUGGAUAGGAAAUGAUCCAGCCUUGACGGUACCCUCGAAGGAAGCACCGGCUAACUCCGUGCCAGCAGCCGCGGUAAUACGGGGGGUGCAAGCGUUGUUCGGAAUCACUGGGCGUAAAGCGCGUGUAGGCGGAUUGUUAAGUCAGAUGUGAAAGCCCGAGGCUUAA